RNAcentral lists this ribosomal RNA (406 nucleotides) under uncultured bacterium. Its description in RNAcentral is "partial 16S ribosomal RNA". It matches the Rfam family "Bacterial small subunit ribosomal RNA", at positions 30 to 526 of the family's 1533-position model. The record is from RNAcentral.
AUUGAACGCCGGCGGCAGGCCUAACACAUGCAAGUCGAACGAGUGGCGGACGGGUGAGUAAUGUCUGGGAAACCGCCUGAUGGAGGGGGAUAACUACUGGAAACGGUAGCUAAUACCGCAUACCAUCAGAUGCGCCCAGAUGGGAUUAGCUUGUUGGUGGGGUAACGGCUCACCAAAGCGACGAUCCCGAGCUGGUCUGAGAGGAUGACCAGCCACGCUGGAAGUGAGACACGGUCCAGACUCCUACGUGACGCAGCAGGGGGGAAUAAUGCACAAUGGGCGCAAGCCUGAUGCAGCCAUGCCGCGUGUAUGAAGAAGGCCUUCGGGUUGUAAAGUACUUUCAGCGGGGAGGCGUUACCCGCAGAAGAAGCACCGGCUAGCUCCGUGCCAGCAGCCGCGGUAAUAC